CUUUUUCAUAUCACUGCCUGGUUGUGCUUUAGAUGCUUUUUAGGACUUUGUUGCUCGUUAUGACCUGUGAGUUCAUGAACAAGUUAGAAAAAACCUAAAAGAUGGUUUUAAGCACAACAAACAUGCGCCUUGUCCAAAAAUUUUAUCGACUAAAAUCUUGUCAAUGUAUAAAAUCAACAGUUGUAUUCUUAGUUUUGUAAUUCAAUAUUGUCUGGAUAUGUCGUUUUCCGUAUUAGUUCUUCAGUGCAAUGACCAAAUAUCAAAACUUGUAAUUGCUUAUCACGCAUAUUCUAAUCAAUAGACGAAACUUUUAUCUUUUUGUUCUGGGUGAUACUCUUUUCUUAGUUUAAUCGAUAUAUCGCUUUUAUGUAUGGCAGCUAUAUCUAUUAUAUGUUUAGUGACGUGCCAAGAUACUUCCAAGGACACUACAUGCUCAAUUCUAUAUAAAUGUUGCUUCCUACAGCUGAAAAGUUGUGUUCUUUAUCUAAGAAACGAGGUUGUAUCUAGAAUUACAGCUUUUAUCUCAAUUUUUUUACAGUUCGUGCUAUAGCGCAAAAAACGAAUUGAUUUCGUGAUCAAGCUAAAUUUGGAUUUUGAGUUUGAGUGCUUUUGUUGGUUGGUUGAUUGAAACCAUUGCAUGUCAGAAUUGCUUUCUGUCACUAGCAAUUAGCAAUGAACUAAAGUUUGAGCUGUG
RNAcentral lists this long non-coding RNA (694 nucleotides) under Olea europaea subsp. europaea. The record is from RNAcentral. Lineage: Eukaryota; Viridiplantae; Streptophyta; Magnoliopsida; Lamiales; Oleaceae.